GGUUAGGGAGUCACCCUUCUGGUAAGGGGAAUGGACGAGUUUGGCUACACAUAGCCUUAGCACGCUCAUUCUUUUUCUAACCAAAAGGAAAAACAAAAGUCACGAUUUAGGGUCUCCCCGUACCCGUCUUGCUUGCAUGCCUCUAGGGUUCAUGCAUUUCAUUCAUCCAUUAUCAUUUUGCACUCUCACUUCAUAUUCUAUCCCUUUUCCCAUAUUUUUCACUUCACACAACUCUUAUUUUGCACAUUUUUUACUCUACCACUUGCACUUUAUAUACUACUACUAAGCACACAUGCACUUCACACUAUCACUUUACGUACCUCACCUUGCACACCCAUUUACACACUAUUAUCUUUUAUAUUUUGCUCACUUCACACAAGCUCAUGUUUUCACAUUGCAUACAUUCAUUUCAUUCAUUUUUUCGUCAUUAGCAUUACUCGUGACCUCUUAGAGGGCUUAUCCUUGGCUAUCACAACUCAUGUGAUCUAGUCCGAUCGAGCCUCUAAGAGAUAUUUGUCCCUUUCGAUUCAUCAUUAGAUUUAGGAUUGCAUCCAUGUUAGUCACAUCCAAAUGCGAUACAUCUUUGGCUAGAAAUUAGGAAAAUCAUGACUAAAUCAUGCAACUAGCUUAGGCUAGGUUGAGAGGGUGCCUUAGACAUUGUCUUUGCCUUCCCUCUCUUCAACCGCGACCCCCGAACCAUUUUCUCUGAUUUAUCGUAGAUUUUAGAGUCAAUCUAAAAAGGCUUUUUUUACAUUUUUAAAUUCACAUUUUUUGGGUGACUUGGUACACCCUAACUCGAUACCAAUUGGUGACUCCUACACUCUUAUCAAAACCUUUUUAGAUUACUAUUUUGGCCAAACCGUCGCAUUUCAAAGUCCCAUGGCCUUUUUCUUUUUCACACACAUCACUAUUUUUCAAACCAUAUCUCACUCACUUAUUAUACUAUUUAUUUUUAUUAAAAAAUGGGGCGCGACAUCGCCCUUAAAAGAAAGCCUUAUUCCUCGCUUUCCACAAAUUCCAACAAAUCAAAGAAGGCACAAGUCGGAGGAGGCAAUUAAGCUGAGGAAUCCUAGCUAGCUUCAGCCCCCAAUCAAUGAUCUUAUGUCUAACAGUCGAGUUGGAGCUAGACCCUCCAACCACCACUUCAAAAAAAACCCUAUUGAUGGGCUCUUGACUAGGGUGAGAACAACAGAAACAAUGGGAUGGGCCCAAGAUGCCAAACCUAUGUAAGCUAGCAUUACUGGCAAUCUACCAGCCAUCACUCUUAGCAUAAAAAAUGACAUUUUUUACGGCACACCCGAAAGCCAUUGCCACCUUGUCAAACUACCUGAUAGGCUGAGGAUAUAAAGAACUCACCCGAGUGAGUAGGAGACUACAACACUGUAUCCAUCCAUUUUGAACAAGGAGGAGAAAUCUUCAACACUUGAUGUACCCAUCCAGCAGGUAACACACGAUAUAACCACUGCAAACUCCACCCACCAUUUUCCACAAAAUUCAAAACAACAUAUUCUUCAAAGAACUCCACCUGUUUGCACAAAGGGCCAGUCCCCAACCAAUUAUCAUGCCAAAAACUUGAUGAGCCACUAUUCAAAAUCCAUGUUAUGUGCUGCUCCUCCACACCUUGGACCGAUAACAUCCGCUUCCAAGUACAUGAGUGCCCUAGCAUAACAUCUGCAAAGCAAGGAUGACCAUUCAGACUAUAUUUACAAUGCAUGAACUCCACCCAACCAAAGAAAAUCUAAUUAAUUGUUCUUGUGAUGCUGAGAUCUUUUGUUUUGGGAUUCCUCCAUAGCCUAUGUUAUAGGCAUCCAUUUCUACUAUCAUAAAUGCAGAUGGUUGAGAAAUUCCUGAA
RNAcentral lists this long non-coding RNA (1852 nucleotides) under Coffea arabica (coffee). RNAcentral describes it as "long non-coding RNA (CARA_LNC008054)". Lineage: Eukaryota; Viridiplantae; Streptophyta; Magnoliopsida; Gentianales; Rubiaceae. The record is from RNAcentral.